RNAcentral lists this ribosomal RNA (441 nucleotides) under uncultured bacterium. RNAcentral's name for it is "partial 16S ribosomal RNA". It matches the Rfam family "Bacterial small subunit ribosomal RNA", at positions 338 to 795 of the family's 1533-position model. The record is from RNAcentral.
CCUACGGGAGGCAGCAGUGGGGGAUAUUGCACAAUGGGGGAAACCCUGAUGCAGCGACGCCGCGUGUGGGAAGACGGUCCUCUGGAUUGUAAACCACUGUCCCCAGGGACGAAGAUGACGGUACCUGACUAAGAAGCUCCGGCUAACUACGUGCCAGCAGCCGCGGUAAUACGUAGGGGGCAAGCGUUAGCCGGAUUUACUUGGUGUAAAGGGAGCGUAGACGGUAGCGCAAGUCUGAAGGGAAAUGCCGUGGCCCAACCCCGGAACUGCUUUGGAAACUGUGCAACUCGAGUGCAGGAGAGGUAAGCGGAAUUCCUAGUGUAGCGGUGAAAUGCGUAGAUAUUAGGAGGAACACCAGUGGCGAAGGCGGCUUACUGGACUGUAACUGACGUUGAGGCUCGAAAGCGUGGGGAGCAAACAGGAUUAGAUACCCCUGUAGUC